UGAGCAACGUGAGGAAUGGGAGAAACAGCUAACUGCAAGAUAAAUAGUGUAGAAAGAGCAGAGCAGGACAGGCAGCACUACAAGAAACACCUGGAAGAGCAGAAGAGGUUGGAGGAGCAGAGGCUAAAGGAGGAACAGAGGAAGGAUGUCCUGGAGGAGAAGUGGAGACAGAGACUUGAGGAGGAGAAAGAAUGUCAUGGGGCUGUUGUACAGCAUCCAACGGGAAGGAGCCAGAAGCCAAAACAAAAGUGUAAUCUGUGGUCUUGGGGAAAAACUCUCCACGGUAGCCCUAUGAUUCACAGUGCAGGUGGUUUUCUUGAAUCUUCAGUCUCCUCUUUCAAUUUAGCA
This 348-nucleotide long non-coding RNA is filed under the name Homo sapiens (human). Its description in RNAcentral is "non-protein coding lnc-SOCS6-14:1". Lineage: Eukaryota; Metazoa; Chordata; Mammalia; Primates; Hominidae. The record is from RNAcentral.